GUUUUUAUAGUUGAAUAACAACGGCGGUUUUUCAAGUCGUAGGUCUUGGUUAAAAUCCUAGUAAAAAUU
This 69-nucleotide transfer RNA is filed under the name Denticeps clupeoides (denticle herring). It matches the Rfam family "tRNA". From Rfam's summary of the family: Transfer RNA (tRNA) molecules are approximately 80 nucleotides in length. Their secondary structure includes four short double-helical elements and three loops (D, anti-codon, and T loops). Lineage: Eukaryota; Metazoa; Chordata; Actinopteri; Clupeiformes; Denticipitidae. The record is from Rfam by way of RNAcentral.